Macrobrachium nipponense is the source of this 421-nucleotide long non-coding RNA. RefSeq lists it as uncharacterized. The transcript is spliced from 3 exons. Lineage: Eukaryota; Metazoa; Arthropoda; Malacostraca; Decapoda; Palaemonidae. The record is from RefSeq and is a predicted model, not a curated record.
UUAGUUGGGUGAGCAAAGGAGGGGGAGGUGGAGGAGCGGGAGAAGGAGAAGGGGGAGGAGGACUAGGGCGUGUUGCCUAGGCUCGGGCACGCGGGCAGAGAGAACCCCGUCGCCAGCGCUUUGGAGGUGGAUGGAAGACGCCCGCCUCGGCGAAUGGAAGUGACACCUGGCACCUGAAUCACUAAGGCAACAACGCGAGCGGAAAAACGUCUGCACCUCCCAUUCAUAGACACGAUUGAUGACAUCAUCACAGUUAAAAGGAAAACAUUUCUGAAGUGGCAUCUGGCAACUCAGUCAGCUUUAGUUACGAAGGAGUGAGGAUGCGUGUCUGCAGAUCCCCAUUCAUAAAAAAUCGAUUGAUGACCGGCAUGGACAGGAGUUACACGAUCUUUUAUUGUUAUUUUCUAAAUAAAUAUUUUAU